GCCAACAUGGUGUAGUGGUUUGAGUACUGGACUAUGACUCUGGAGAUUAGGGUUCGAUUCCCUGCUCGGCC
RNAcentral lists this transfer RNA (71 nucleotides) under Phrynosoma platyrhinos (Desert horned lizard). RNAcentral's name for it is "tRNA-OTHER". The record is from RNAcentral. Lineage: Eukaryota; Metazoa; Chordata; Lepidosauria; Squamata; Phrynosomatidae.